ACCAGACUCCUACGGGAGGCAGCAGUGGGGGAUAUUGCACAAUGGGGGGAACCCUGAUGCAGCGACGCCGCGUGGGUGAAGGAGCGUUUCGGCGCGUAAAGCCCUAUCGGCAGGGAAGAAGGAGGACGGUACCUGACUAAGAAGCCCCGGCUAACUACGUGCCAGCAGCCGCGGUAAUACGUAGGGGGCAAGCGUUAUCCGGAUUUACUGGGUGUAAAGGGGGCGCAGACGGCGAUGCAAGCCAGGAGUGAAAGCCCGGGGCCCAACCCCGGGACUGCUCUUGGAACUGCGUGGCUAGGGUGCAGGAGGGGCGGGCGGAAUUCCUGGUGUAGCGGUGAAAUGCGUAGAUAUCAGGAGGAACACCGGCGGCGAAGGCGGCCUGCUGGACCGUAACUGACGUUGAGGCUCGAAAGCGUGGGGAGCAAACAGGAUUAGAUACCCUUGUA
This 446-nucleotide ribosomal RNA is filed under the name uncultured bacterium. RNAcentral describes it as "partial 16S ribosomal RNA". It matches the Rfam family "Bacterial small subunit ribosomal RNA", at positions 330 to 792 of the family's 1533-position model. The record is from RNAcentral.